AUCGGAUCUCCAAAAACAGCCCUCCAUGAUGGACUGCAGGGAACAAUUUCUGUGAAGAGCCAUGGUGGAGGCAAGAGCUCGAGUCUCAUGAGGCUUCGCCAUCGACGGUGGAGGCAUCUAUGAGAG
Long non-coding RNA from Haliotis rubra (blacklip abalone), 126 nucleotides. RefSeq lists it as uncharacterized. The record is from RefSeq and is a predicted model, not a curated record. The transcript is spliced from 3 exons. Lineage: Eukaryota; Metazoa; Mollusca; Gastropoda; Lepetellida; Haliotidae.